Molecule: long non-coding RNA, 890 nt
Filed under: Homo sapiens (human)
Lineage: Eukaryota; Metazoa; Chordata; Mammalia; Primates; Hominidae
Description: HSALNT0315692
Source: RNAcentral
CUGCCCGGUUUUAUAGCCCUGCUUGACCUGUGUGAUCCGAGAAUAAUCUUGUUUAAUCUCCACAAGUUUGAGGACUAAACUGGGUGCCACAGAGAAUUAAGUAACUGGUCGAGGUUGUAUCAGUAAGAAGGGAGCACGGAACAGAUUCAAGCUCAGGGAGCCUGGUUGGACUUCAGGCCCCUGUGAGGCUGACUCUGUAGUCCUGGAGAAACUCAACAGCCAGGAACUUAGGACCAUUUGUGUGUGGCAUUUGGGCUAACCAGACUGGUGGCUUCUAAAGAAGAUGGAAAGCAUCACGUUUCCUGUAUUUAAAUUAUUUGGUGAUCUCAAUACUGGUUGUUAGCCAAAGUACACAAUGGAGACAGCCUAUUUGCUCUACUACUUUUGAUGUAGAAAUAUUACUAAGCUUGAGCUGAUUAAUAGAACUGUUACACAUUUCUGUGCUCCCCUUACUGGUGGCAUGAAAUAAUUCUUUUAAAACCUGCCAUGUGUUCACAUUUAAAACUAAAAGUAAUUUAGAUUACAUGGAUUUGAGAAGCCCAUGUUGACACGUAAUUGCCAACAGAUGGGCUUUCAAAUGUAAUGAAGUGAAAAUGGUCAGUACCCCAUGUGUUGGAUUUUGCAAUUUUCCAAAGUAAGCUGUCAUUUUUGGCAUGUCAUGCUAGUUAAGAACACAAUGUAUUUAUAGCUCAAUUAUACAUUUUCUGAUGAAUUUGGCAUGGCAUUUUGUUUUUCCAUCAGUCACUUAAGACAGGACAUUUGCCAUUCCAAGAAUGAAUUAACACUCUUCUAAGUGAUCUAUAAACUGAGAUGUAAAAUAAAUUACAAAUUGGGACUGUUUUAGUUUUUCAAGCAAAGGGUGUUUAAAUAAAGCUUGAAAUCAUAAACCU